This 262-nucleotide signal recognition particle RNA is filed under the name Lachnospiraceae bacterium. Its description in RNAcentral is "signal recognition particle sRNA large type". It matches the Rfam family "Bacterial large signal recognition particle RNA". From Rfam's summary of the family: The signal recognition particle (SRP) is a universally conserved ribonucleoprotein involved in the co-translational targeting of proteins to membranes. Archaeal SRP consists of a 7S RNA and homologues of the eukaryotic SRP19 and SRP54 proteins. Lineage: Bacteria; Bacillati; Bacillota; Clostridia; Lachnospirales; Lachnospiraceae. The record is from RNAcentral.
CCGUACAGCCGGGGCGGUAGCGGUGCCUUGUACCUACAAUCCGCUAUAGUAGGGGUGAUAUUCCGCAGAGGGCGUUUCCUUGUGAAGCUGCCCCUGAUAAGUGAUGUUGACGUUUGGGUCUUACGCGACGGGAAACUGUGAACCGUGUCAGGGCAGGAAUGUAGCAGCACUAAGCAGACCUUUCCGGGUGCCGUGAGGGCGCUCGAGCCGAGUUAACUGUCAGGGUAACGUUCAUGAGGAGCGUUCGAAGCGGAAUGUACGG